Molecule: ribosomal RNA, 1554 nt
Filed under: Klebsiella pneumoniae
Lineage: Bacteria; Pseudomonadati; Pseudomonadota; Gammaproteobacteria; Enterobacterales; Enterobacteriaceae
Description: bacterial SSU rRNA
Rfam family: Bacterial small subunit ribosomal RNA
Source: RNAcentral
ACUUAAAUUGAAGAGUUUGAUCAUGGCUCAGAUUGAACGCUGGCGGCAGGCCUAACACAUGCAAGUCGAGCGGUAGCACAGAGAGCUUGCUCUCGGGUGACGAGCGGCGGACGGGUGAGUAAUGUCUGGGAAACUGCCUGAUGGAGGGGGAUAACUACUGGAAACGGUAGCUAAUACCGCAUAAUGUCGCAAGACCAAAGUGGGGGAUCUUCGGGCCUCAUGCCAUCAGAUGUGCCCAGAUGGGAUUAGCUAGUAGGUGGGGUAACGGCUCACCUAGGCGACGAUCCCUAGCUGGUCUGAGAGGAUGACCAGCCACACUGGAACUGAGACACGGUCCAGACUCCUACGGGAGGCAGCAGUGGGGAAUAUUGCACAAUGGGCGCAAGCCUGAUGCAGCCAUGCCGCGUGUGUGAAGAAGGCCUUCGGGUUGUAAAGCACUUUCAGCGGGGAGGAAGGCGUUAAGGUUAAUAACCUUGGCGAUUGACGUUACCCGCAGAAGAAGCACCGGCUAACUCCGUGCCAGCAGCCGCGGUAAUACGGAGGGUGCAAGCGUUAAUCGGAAUUACUGGGCGUAAAGCGCACGCAGGCGGUCUGUCAAGUCGGAUGUGAAAUCCCCGGGCUCAACCUGGGAACUGCAUUCGAAACUGGCAGGCUAGAGUCUUGUAGAGGGGGGUAGAAUUCCAGGUGUAGCGGUGAAAUGCGUAGAGAUCUGGAGGAAUACCGGUGGCGAAGGCGGCCCCCUGGACAAAGACUGACGCUCAGGUGCGAAAGCGUGGGGAGCAAACAGGAUUAGAUACCCUGGUAGUCCACGCCGUAAACGAUGUCGAUUUGGAGGUUGUGCCCUUGAGGCGUGGCUUCCGGAGCUAACGCGUUAAAUCGACCGCCUGGGGAGUACGGCCGCAAGGUUAAAACUCAAAUGAAUUGACGGGGGCCCGCACAAGCGGUGGAGCAUGUGGUUUAAUUCGAUGCAACGCGAAGAACCUUACCUGGUCUUGACAUCCACAGAACUUUCCAGAGAUGGAUUGGUGCCUUCGGGAACUGUGAGACAGGUGCUGCAUGGCUGUCGUCAGCUCGUGUUGUGAAAUGUUGGGUUAAGUCCCGCAACGAGCGCAACCCUUAUCCUUUGUUGCCAGCGGUUCGGCCGGGAACUCAAAGGAGACUGCCAGUGAUAAACUGGAGGAAGGUGGGGAUGACGUCAAGUCAUCAUGGCCCUUACGACCAGGGCUACACACGUGCUACAAUGGCAUAUACAAAGAGAAGCGACCUCGCGAGAGCAAGCGGACCUCAUAAAGUAUGUCGUAGUCCGGAUUGGAGUCUGCAACUCGACUCCAUGAAGUCGGAAUCGCUAGUAAUCGUAGAUCAGAAUGCUACGGUGAAUACGUUCCCGGGCCUUGUACACACCGCCCGUCACACCAUGGGAGUGGGUUGCAAAAGAAGUAGGUAGCUUAACCUUCGGGAGGGCGCUUACCACUUUGUGAUUCAUGACUGGGGUGAAGUCGUAACAAGGUAACCGUAGGGGAACCUGCGGUUGGAUCACCUCCUUACCUUAAAGAA